UGGGGAAUAUUGGACAAUGGGCGAAAGCCUGAUCCAGCCAUGCCGCGUGAGUGAUGAAGGCCCUAGGGUUGUAAAGCUCUUCAACGGUGAAGAUAAUGACGGUAACCGUAGAAGAAGCCCCGGCUAACUUCGUGCCAGCAGCCGCGGUAAUACGAAGGGGGCUAGCGUUGUUCGGAUUUACUGGGCGUAAAGCGCACGUAGGCGGAUUGUUAAGUUAGGGUGAAAUCCCAGGGCUCAACCCUGGAACUGCCUCUAAUACUGGCAAUCUCGAGUCCGGAAGAGGUGAGUGGAAUUCCGAGUGUAGAGGUGAAAUUCGUAGAUAUUCGGAGGAACACCAGUGGCGAAGGCGGCUCACUGGUCCGGUACUGACGCUGAGGUGCGAAAGCGUGGGGAGCAAACAGGAUUAGAUACCC
Molecule: ribosomal RNA, 413 nt
Filed under: uncultured bacterium
Lineage: Bacteria
Description: bacterial SSU rRNA
Rfam family: Bacterial small subunit ribosomal RNA
Source: RNAcentral